AUUGAACGCUGGCGGCAGGCCUAACACAUGCAAGUCGAACGGUAACAGGAAACAGCUUGCUGUUUCGCUGACGAGUGGCGGACGGGUGAGUAAUGUCUGGGAAACUGCCUGAUGGAGGGGGAUAACUACUGGAAACGGUAGCUAAUACCGCAUAACGUCGCAAGACCAAAGAGGGGGACCUUCGGGCCUCUUGCCAUCGGAUGUGCCCAGAUGGGAUUAGCUAGUAGGUGGGGUAACGGCUCACCUAGGCGACGAUCCCUAGCUGGUCUGAGAGGAUGACCGGCCACACUGGAACUGAGACACGGUCCAGACUCCUACGGGAGGCAGCAGUGGGGAAUAUUGCACAAUGGGCGCAAGCCUGAUGCAGCCAUGCCGCGUGUAUGAAGAAGGCCUUCGGGUUGUAAAGUACUUUCAGCGGGGAGGAAGGGAGUAAAGUUAAUACCUUUGCUCAUUGACGUUACCCGCAGAAGAAGCACCGGCUAACUCCGUG
RNAcentral lists this ribosomal RNA (490 nucleotides) under uncultured bacterium. RNAcentral's name for it is "partial 16S ribosomal RNA". It matches the Rfam family "Bacterial small subunit ribosomal RNA", at positions 30 to 507 of the family's 1533-position model. The record is from RNAcentral.